RNAcentral lists this unclassified non-coding RNA (140 nucleotides) under uncultured Sympodiella. Its description in RNAcentral is "sequence contains ITS2". Lineage: Eukaryota; Fungi; Ascomycota. The record is from RNAcentral.
CAACCCUCAAGCCCAGCUUGGUGAUGGGCCCCGCCCGUGGGCGGGCCCGAAACUCGCAGGCGUCACCGUCCUGGCCUCAAGCGUAGCAAAACCCUCGCUUGGGUGCCUGGCGGCGGCCGCCCCGGAACGAAUUUUCACAA